Molecule: non-coding RNA, 111 nt
Organism: Nemania abortiva
Lineage: Eukaryota; Fungi; Ascomycota; Sordariomycetes; Xylariales; Xylariaceae
Source: the annotation of a GenBank genome assembly
UCUCGAUUGGUCUAGUGGUAAGGAUACCUGCUUGUCAAAAAAAACGGAUGAUGGACUUAUCGUGAGAUUAGCAAAUCGCAGGUGGCCGGGGUUCGAUUCCCCGAUCGAGAG